This 523-nucleotide ribosomal RNA is filed under the name uncultured Bacteroidota bacterium. RNAcentral's name for it is "bacterial SSU rRNA". It matches the Rfam family "Bacterial small subunit ribosomal RNA", at positions 384 to 905 of the family's 1533-position model. Lineage: Bacteria; Pseudomonadati; Bacteroidota. The record is from RNAcentral.
UGAACCAGCCAAGUAGCGUGCAGGAUGACGGCCCUAUGGGUUGUAAACUGCUUUUAUAAGGGAAUAAAGUGAGUCUCGUGAGACUUUUUGCAUGUACCUUAUGAAUAAGGACCGGCUAAUUCCGUGCCAGCAGCCGCGGUAAUACGGAAGGUCCGGGCGUUAUCCGGAUUUAUUGGGUUUAAAGGGAGCGUAGGCCGGAGAUUAAGCGUGUUGUGAAAUGUAGACGCUCAACGUCUGCACUGCAGCGCGAACUGGUUUCCUUGAGUACGCACAAAGUGGGCGGAAUUCGUGGUGUAGCGGUGAAAUGCUUAGAUAUCACGAAGAACUCCGAUUGCGAAGGCAGCUCACUGGAGCGCAACUGACGCUGAAGCUCGAAAGUGCGGGUAUCGAACAGGAUUAGAUACCCUGGUAGUCCGCACGGUAAACGAUGGAUGCCCGCUGUUGGUCUGAAUAGGUCAGCGGCCAAGCGAAAGCAUUAAGCAUUCCCACCUGGGGAGUACGCCGGCAACGGUGCAAACUCAAA